This 497-nucleotide ribosomal RNA is filed under the name uncultured bacterium. RNAcentral describes it as "partial 16S ribosomal RNA". It matches the Rfam family "Bacterial small subunit ribosomal RNA", at positions 28 to 507 of the family's 1533-position model. The record is from RNAcentral.
GAUGAACGCUGGCGGCGUGCCUAAUACAUGCAAGUCGAGCGAACAGACGAGGAGCUUGCUCCUCUGACGUUAGCGGCGGACGGGUGAGUAACACGUGGAUAACCUCCCUAUAAGACUGGGAUAACUUCGGGAAACCGGCGCUAAUACCGGAUAAUAUAUUAAACCGCAUUGUUCAAUAGUGAAAGACGGUUUUGCUGUCACUUAUAGAUGGAUCCGCGCCGCUUUAGGUAGUUGGUACGGUAACGGCUUACCACGGCGACGAUGCGUAGCCGACCUGAGAGAGUGAUCGGCCACACGGGAACUGAGACACGGUCCAGACUCCUACGGGAGGCAGCAGUAGGGAAUCUGACGCAAUGGGCGAGAGCCUGACGGAGCGACGCCGCGUGAGUGAUGAAGGUCUUCGGAGCGUAAAACUCUGUUAUUAGGGAAGAACAAAUGUGUAAGUAACAAUGCACGUCUUGACGGUACCUAAUCAGAAAGCCACGGCUAACUACGUG